AAAAUAUUAAUUCUCAUUUUACUUUAUUAUUUUUGUAAAAUUCGAGGUCAUACUUUGAUGAUGAUAUUUCUGUAAAAUUCGAGCCUGUAAAUGAGCCUAGAGCCAUGCCAACACUAUACAGAAACAACAUCCAGUCACAGAACCCAUGUACUGGUACAAAGCUCCUUCAUGUUCACAAUGGGAUUGAAGAUUGAAACGUGGUGGGAAACAUCCACACGUCCACUACCCAUCCCGCCACUGUGAUCUCACUGCCCAUCGUUGGUUCCAUCCAUUGCCACCCAAUACUUCUUGACCACAGUCGUGAAGGCUUAAAGCUGUCCUGAUAUAUAUUCAAAAAGUUCCAUGUCCUUGGAUGGGACGCCUGCUCGUUUUUUCCCCACCCAUCA
This 386-nucleotide long non-coding RNA is filed under the name Physcomitrium patens. RNAcentral describes it as "long non-coding RNA (PPAT_LNC014881)". Lineage: Eukaryota; Viridiplantae; Streptophyta; Bryopsida; Funariales; Funariaceae. The record is from RNAcentral.